UGCUUGACCACAGCUUUGGCCACUCAUUAAGCUGAUGAAGUUCCAUCUUUAGCUGCACAUGUUUGUUCUGUGAAUUUUCAGGGUAGGAGGCAGCUUAGAAAAAAAGGCUUUUGUGUGCCAGAUAGCUUCCAAAGGCAUACUGUGCCCUACAUCUGUGAAUAGAAAGCUCUGAAGAACUGAAAGAGGCAAAGGAGAGCUGACACAGCCUCUGCAUCCAUAGCUAGCUCCUUCCCAAAGGCCUCACACGGCCGCAAAGCACACUAAAGGCUUCCCCAGCCCCUGCUAUCUGGUAAUAGGAUGCCUGAGGUGACAGCUGGAGCAGCACAGACAACAGCCAUCUCCUUUCCUGCCAUGAAUCUGGCUUCCUCAAUUUUACUUGGCAUUACAGUGGAUACUGCUCAUAGAAGUUCACCUUAAAAGAAAUUGAAGCAAACCUGGCAUGAUCAAAAAUUUGAUUUAGUCACCAAGCAGAAGCGGUCCCUUUUCUGAGAAGAUCUAACAAGCUCCAAGAUGCUCAUGGCAUGAAUAAAAGGUAUUACAAUCAUAAAUAAGGAAGUUAUUGGCAGUAGAACAUCCAGACUUCAAUUUUUAGCCACUUUCAAGUUUCCCUUGAAAACUUUUUCUUCAGUAGAACAUGCAUUUGAGAUGACAGACCUGGUGCUAAAGCAGAAGACGAGAGAAAAUGUGAGCAAGCCCACCUACUCAUGCUCAGCCUUCAUUGUGAAUUUAUCCCCAUUUCACAACAGCUAACAUAUAUGGAUUAAGCUUUUGCUUUGGUCCAUAAACAGCACAGAAAUGAGAGUAAUGCAAGUCCAUUUGUGCUUUCUGUAGAAGCAGGUAGAUAAUUUAGCAAGACAUUACAUCCAAUACCAUUGGCAAUAAACACCGCAUCUAACAGAAAUAUUGCUUUCCUUCUUUGUUUAAUUUUUUUCCACUUAGUUUUUAGCAUCUUGACUUACUGGACUUAAGUGUGUUUGAUUUCUACUACUCUACAUUUGCACAGUAAUGCAGCUGUUCUG
Tympanuchus pallidicinctus (lesser prairie-chicken) is the source of this 1019-nucleotide long non-coding RNA. RefSeq lists it as uncharacterized. NCBI's taxonomy places the organism in Eukaryota, Metazoa, Chordata, Aves, Galliformes, Phasianidae. The record is from RefSeq and is a predicted model, not a curated record. The transcript has 5 exons.